This 614-nucleotide ribosomal RNA is filed under the name Pseudomonas sp. Its description in RNAcentral is "bacterial SSU rRNA". It matches the Rfam family "Bacterial small subunit ribosomal RNA", at positions 92 to 709 of the family's 1533-position model. The record is from RNAcentral. Lineage: Bacteria; Pseudomonadati; Pseudomonadota; Gammaproteobacteria; Pseudomonadales; Pseudomonadaceae.
CUAGCGGCGGACGGGUGAGUAAUGCUUAGGAAUCUGCCUGUUAGUGGGGGAUAACGUUCCGAAACGAACGCUAAUACCGCAUACGCCCUACGGGAGAAAGCAGGGGAUCUUCGGACCUUGCGCUAUUAGAUGAGCCUAUGUCGGAUUAGCUAGUUGGUGGGGUAAUGGCUCACCAAGGCGACGAUCCGUAACUGGUCUGAGAGGAUGAUCCGCCACACUGGAACUGAGACACGGCCCAGACUCCUACGGGAGGCAGCAGUGGGGAAUAUUGGACAAUGGGCGAAAGCCUGAUCCAGCCAUGCCGCGUGUGUGAAGAAGGCCUUCUGGUUGUAAAGCACUUUAAGUUGGGAGGAAGGGACUUUAAUUAAUACUCUAUUAUUUUGAACGUUCCUCGCAAAAUAGCCACCGGUUACCUCUGGGCCACCACCCCCGUAAUUCCAAAGGGGGCAAGCUUUAUUCGAAUUUCUGGGCCGUAAAGCGUGCUUAGUGGGUUGUUUAAUUGGAAGGUAAAAUCCCUGACUCUAACUGAGAACUUGCAUUCAAUCCUGGUGACUUAAAGUAGGUAAAAGGAGGUGAAAUUUCCUGGUGAACCGUGUAAAUUGCGAAAUGAACUA